AUUGAACGCUGGCGGCAGGCCUAACACAUGCAAGUCGAACGGUAACAGGAAGCAGCUUGCUGCUUCGCUGACGAGUGGCGGACGGGUGAGUAAUGUCUGGGAAGCUGCCUGAUGGAGGGGGAUAACUACUGGAAACGGUAGCUAAUACCGCAUAAUGUCGCAAGACCAAAGAGGGGGACCUUCGGGCCUCUUGCCAUCGGAUGUGCCCAGAUGGGAUUAGCUUGUUGGUGGGGUAACGGCUCACCAAGGCGACGAUCCCUAGCUGGUCUGAGAGGAUGACCAGCCACACUGGAACUGAGACACGGUCCAGACUCCUACGGGAGGCAGCAGUGGGGAAUACUGCACAAUGGGCGCAAGCCUGAUGCAGCCAUGCCGCGUGUAUGAAGAAGGCCUUCGGGUUGUAAAGUACUUUCAGCGGGGAGGAAGGGAGUAAAGUUAAUACCUUUGCUCAUUGACGUUACCCGCAGAAGAAGCACCGGCUAACUCCGUG
This 490-nucleotide ribosomal RNA is filed under the name uncultured bacterium. RNAcentral's name for it is "partial 16S ribosomal RNA". It matches the Rfam family "Bacterial small subunit ribosomal RNA", at positions 30 to 507 of the family's 1533-position model. The record is from RNAcentral.